Molecule: unclassified non-coding RNA, 312 nt
Filed under: plant metagenome
Description: partial contains 5.8S ribosomal RNA, internal transcribed spacer 2, and large subunit ribosomal RNA
Rfam family: 5.8S ribosomal RNA (bases 1-105)
Source: RNAcentral
GAAAUGCGAUAAGUAAUGUGAAUUGCAGAAUUCCGUGAUUCAUCGAAUCUUUGAACGCACAUUGCGCCCUCUGGCAUUCCGGGGGGCAUGCCUGUCCGAGCGUCAUUACGCACCCUCAAGCCCGGCUUGUGUGAUGGGCCCCGGCGUCUCGUUCGCGAGACGGGCCCGAAAGGCAGCGGCGGCGUCGACCCGAUGAGCCCGAGCGUAUGGGGACUUCUGUCACACGUUCGCGGUGCGGACCGGCGCCUGCUUGACUUUUCUGAUUAUCCAGGUUGACCUCGGAUCAGGUAGGGAUACCCGCUGAACUUAAGC